GCAAUGGGGGCGGCGAUCCCCCCAUGAGGCGUCAGCCGAAGUGUCGCGUCCGCAACGUUCGAAGGACGCACCAUG
Sphingomonas koreensis is the source of this 75-nucleotide regulatory RNA element. It matches the Rfam family "chrB-a RNA". Lineage: Bacteria; Pseudomonadati; Pseudomonadota; Alphaproteobacteria; Sphingomonadales; Sphingomonadaceae. The record is from Rfam.